This 66-nucleotide transfer RNA is filed under the name Neohermes filicornis. Its description in RNAcentral is "tRNA-Trp". It matches the Rfam family "tRNA". Rfam says of the family: Transfer RNA (tRNA) molecules are approximately 80 nucleotides in length. Their secondary structure includes four short double-helical elements and three loops (D, anti-codon, and T loops). Lineage: Eukaryota; Metazoa; Arthropoda; Insecta; Megaloptera; Corydalidae. The record is from RNAcentral.
AAGGUUUUAAGUUAAUUAAACUAUUAGCCUUCAAAGCUGUAAAUAAAGAUAUAUCUUUAAGCCUUA